GUUUGUCGCGUCUGCCGUGAAAGUCCGGGGCUUAACCCCGGAUCUGCGGUGGGUACGGGCAGACUUGAGUGAUGUAGGGGAGACUGGAAUUCCUGGUGUAGCGGUGAAAUGCGCAGAUAUCAGGAGGAACACCGAUGGCGAAGGCAGGUCUCUGGGCAUUAACUGACGCUGAGGAGCGAAAGCAUGGGGAGCGAACAGGAUUAGAUACCCUGGUAGUCCAUGCCGUAAACGUUGGGCACUAGGUGUGGGGGACAUUCCACGUUUUCCGCGCCGUAGCUAACGCAUUAAGUGCCCCGCCUGGGGAGUACGGCCGCAAGGCUAAAACUCAAAGGAAUUGACGGGGGCCCGCACAGGCGGCGGAGCAUGCGGAUUAAUUCGAUGCAACGCGAAGAACCUUACCAAGGCUUGACAUGAACCGGAACGGCGCAGAGAUGUGUCGGCCACUUGUGGCCGGUUUACAGGUGGUGCAUGGUUGUCGUCAGCUCGUGUCGUGAGAUGUUGGGUUAAGUCCCGCAACGAGCGCAACCCUCGUUCCAUGUUGCCAGCGGGUUAUGCCGGGGACUCAUGGGAGACUGCCGGGGUCAACUCGGAGGAAGGUGGGGACGACGUCAAAUCAUCAUGCCCCUUAUGUCUUGGGCUUCACGCAUGCUACAAUGGCCGGUACAAAGGGUUGCGAUGCUGUGAGGUGGAGCUAAUCCCAAAAAGCCGGUCUCAGUUCGGAUUGAGGUCUGC
RNAcentral lists this ribosomal RNA (732 nucleotides) under uncultured Actinomycetes bacterium. Its description in RNAcentral is "bacterial SSU rRNA". It matches the Rfam family "Bacterial small subunit ribosomal RNA", at positions 578 to 1308 of the family's 1533-position model. The record is from RNAcentral. Lineage: Bacteria; Bacillati; Actinomycetota; Actinomycetes.